RNAcentral lists this ribosomal RNA (454 nucleotides) under uncultured bacterium. Its description in RNAcentral is "bacterial SSU rRNA". It matches the Rfam family "Bacterial small subunit ribosomal RNA", at positions 923 to 1379 of the family's 1533-position model. The record is from RNAcentral.
GCACAAGCGGUGGAGCAUGUGGUUUAAUUCGACGCAACGCGAAGAACCUUACCUGGGCUUGACAUGUUGGUGACCGCCGUGGAAACACGGUUUUCCUUCGGGACACCAUCACAGGUGGUGCAUGGCUGUCGUCAGCUCGUGUCGUGAGAUGUUGGGUUAAGUCCCGCAACGAGCGCAACCCCCGUCCUUAGUUGCUACCAUUUAGUUGAGCACUCUAAGGAGACUGCCGGUGAUAAGCCGCGAGGAAGGUGGGGAUGACGUCAAGUCCUCAUGGCCCUUACGGGCUGGGCUACACACGUGCUACAAUGGCGGUGACAAUGGGAUGCUAAGGGGCGACCCUUCGCAAAUCUCAAAAAGCCGUCUCAGUUCGGAUUGGGCUCUGCAACUCGAGCCCAUGAAGUUGGAAUCGCUAGUAAUCGUGGAUCAGCACGCCACGGUGAAUACGUUCCCGGGC